CAAUUGUAGUUUCUACUGGGGCCUGGAGGCGACUGUUUCCAGCAGGGGAUAUCUAAUGGACGCUGAGAUGGCCUCUGUUAGAAAGACCCCCUUCCAAGCCUUUUAGACUCCAUUGUAGUCUCUAAUGGGGCUUGGAGGGGAUUCUUUCUAACAGACCCUCUAAAGGACACUGAGAUAGCCUCCGCUAGAAAGACCCCCCUCCAUGG
Molecule: non-coding RNA, 206 nt
Organism: Pelobates cultripes (western spadefoot toad)
Lineage: Eukaryota; Metazoa; Chordata; Amphibia; Anura; Pelobatidae
Source: the annotation of a GenBank genome assembly